UGGGGAAUUUUGGACAAUGGGGGCAACCCUGAUCCAGCCAUCCCGCGUGUGCGAUGAAGGCCUUCGGGUUGUAAAGCACUUUUGGCAGGGAAGAAACAGCCUGGGCUAAUAUCCCGGGCGACUGACGGUACCUGCAGAAUAAGCACCGGCUAACUACGUGCCAGCAGCCGCGGUAAUACGUAGGGUGCAAGCGUUAAUCGGAAUUACUGGGCGUAAAGCGUGCGCAGGCGGUUCGGAAAGAAAGGUGUGAAAUCCCAGGGCUUAACCUUGGAACUGCACUUUGAACUACCGGGCUAGAGUACGUCAGAGGGGGGUAGAAUUCCUCGUGUAGCAGUGAAAUGCGUAGAGGUGUGGAGGAAUACCGAUGGCGAAGGCAGCCCCCUGGGAUGAUACUGACGCUCAUGCACGAAAGCGUGGGGAGCAAACA
Molecule: ribosomal RNA, 427 nt
Filed under: uncultured bacterium
Lineage: Bacteria
Description: bacterial SSU rRNA
Rfam family: Bacterial small subunit ribosomal RNA
Source: RNAcentral